AUCGCUUCUCGGCCUUUUGGCUAAGAUCAUGUGUAGUAUCUGUUCUUUUCAGCUUAAUAUCUGAAACGCGACUCACCGCGUCGCUUGUAUAUUAAACUGAUUUUUGAACUUAGGCCAUGGAAUAGGGGCUUGCUCCGUCCUGGCCACGGGUGGCCCGGUAUUGCAGUACCUCCGGGAUCGGCCCACCCCUC
Small nuclear RNA from Lytechinus variegatus (green sea urchin), 191 nucleotides. RefSeq annotates it as U2 spliceosomal RNA. The transcript has a single exon. NCBI's taxonomy places the organism in Eukaryota, Metazoa, Echinodermata, Echinoidea, Temnopleuroida, Toxopneustidae. The record is from RefSeq and is a predicted model, not a curated record.